AUGAAGUGUGGCGCGAGAAACCCUAAACUUGCCGUUCCAAGGAGAUGGCGGAAAUCUAUUGGGAUCAAACUAAAUUCUUCUACGGACCUGGCUAGAGGGAUGAGUUCUAUAUCUUAUAUGCCCCCUAUAUCACAUGCUACGAAAUCUCCACAGCUACUACCCUGGGAUUUACCUAAGCCCGGGUGGGUGAAGCUUAAUACAGAUGGAUCCUUGGGCGUAAGAGGAUAUGCUGGUGUUGGUAUGAUUCUGCUGGGUGAGAAGGGGGAGAUCAUCUUCUCGGCAUGGUUUAUCCCUUGCUCUUCAACGAAGUAA
This 312-nucleotide ribosomal RNA is filed under the name Triticum aestivum (bread wheat). Its description in RNAcentral is "partial small subunit ribosomal RNA". The record is from RNAcentral. Lineage: Eukaryota; Viridiplantae; Streptophyta; Magnoliopsida; Poales; Poaceae.